CUCAGAUCUUUAAAUCGCAUUAAUUUUAGCAGAAAUCCACUGACAAUUUCUCUUUCUUAAUAAAAAAAAUAGCACUUAAUAUUGUCAUCUACGUUGUGCACAUUUUUAGAUGCAUUCAGAGCAGCAUUUGUUGUAAGAAGAUUUUGUUUCGACGAGUCAUUUUCUUCAGCCAACCUCAAAAUUUGAUCCUGUAAUAAAAGGCACAAGUGUUAGAUUCUCAAAUGCAAGGACUAAUAAUCCAAAGCAAAAGUUCACCGAAGUAAGAUUUUAUUUAGAUUAGAUUUCAAAAAUCAGUCAUGUAAAAUCCUGAAAGAUGUGUUGUUACACAUAAAAGAUACAGAAGAAAUACUCAUAAGUUCAACAAAAUGCACGUAACACAUUUCUUCCAUCAUCAGUUAAAUGAAAAUUUCAAUAUAUGAAUAACAAGCAAUCGCAACUUAAUAAGAGCUUAGAUUAGAAUUUUUUAGUGUAAAAUACCCAAAAAGAUUUUAAAAAAGAUUCAAUUAACCUCCCAAUUAAACAAAAUUGCAGUUGGAUAUUAAAUCGUCACAAUUACAUACUGCGAGAAUCCAUAAUUAGAGGUAAUCAAUUAGAGAU
This 597-nucleotide long non-coding RNA is filed under the name Olea europaea subsp. europaea. The record is from RNAcentral. Lineage: Eukaryota; Viridiplantae; Streptophyta; Magnoliopsida; Lamiales; Oleaceae.